Molecule: ribosomal RNA, 253 nt
Filed under: uncultured bacterium
Lineage: Bacteria
Description: partial 16S ribosomal RNA
Rfam family: Bacterial small subunit ribosomal RNA
Source: RNAcentral
UACAUGGGGUGCAAACGUUGCUCGGAAUCAUUGGGCGUAAAGCGCGCGUAGGCGGUUAUUUAAGUCGGAUGUGAAAGCCCUCGGCUUAACUGAGGAAGUGCACCCGAAACUGAAUAGCUAGAGUACUAAAGAGGGUCGCGGAAUUCCCGGUGUAGAGGUGAAAUUCGUAGAUAUCGGGAGGAACACCGGUGGCGAAGGCGGCGACCUGGGUAGAGACUGACGCUGAGGCGCGAAAGCGUGGGGAGCAAACAGG